Molecule: RNA transcript, 7087 nt
Organism: Acipenser ruthenus (sterlet)
Lineage: Eukaryota; Metazoa; Chordata; Actinopteri; Acipenseriformes; Acipenseridae
Exons: 4
Source: RefSeq, a predicted model, not a curated record
GGAAUGCACUGUCACACUGUAGAUUCAUACUGGGAAUGCUCUGUCACACUGUAGAUUCAUACUGGGAAUGCUCUGUCAUGCUGUAGAUUCAUACUGGGAAUGCUCUGUCACGCUGUAGAUUCAUACUGGGAAUGCUCUGUCACGCUGUAGAUUCAUACUGGGAAUGCACUGUCAUGCUGUAGAUUCAUACUGGGAAUGCACUGUCAUGCUGUAGAUUCAUACUGGGAAUGCUCUCUGUCCCUUGUGAAUUCAUACUGGGAAUGCUCUCUGUCCCUCGUGAAUUCAUACAGGGAAUGUAAAAAUCAUAACCCCCAGCCAGGAGAUGUUGGCACCCGUUUCCGUGGCCUGCUCUGCAGAGCCGUCGGGGUCCAUGCAUGGAUCAGCAUGUUUCUCAGUGAUCAGUGCAGGUGUUUGUUGCUCUGCAGAGCCGUUGGGGUCCAUGCGUGGAUCAGCAUGUUUCUCAGUGAUCAGUGCAGGUGUUCACUGCUCUGCAGAGCAGUCGGGGUCCAUGCGUGGAUCAGCAUGUUUCUCAGUGAUCAGUGCAGGUGUUCACUGCUCUGCAGAGCAGUCGGGGUCCAUGCGUGGAUCAGCAUGUUUCUCAGUGAUCAGUGCAGGUGUUCACUGCUCUGCAGAGCCGUCGGGGUCCAUGCGUGGAUCAGCAUGUUUCUCAGUGAUCAGUGCAGGUGUUCACUGCUCUGCAGAGCCGUCGGGGUCCAUGUGUGGAUCAGCAUGUUUCUCAGUGAUCAGUGCAGGUGUUUGUUGCUCUGCAGAGCCGUCGGGGUCCAUGCGUGGAUCAGCAUGUUUCUCAGUGAUCAGUGCAGGUGUUCUCUGCUCUGCAGAGCCGUUGGGGUCCAUGCAUGGAUCAGCAUGUUUCUCAGUGAUCAGUGCAGGUGUUCACUGCUCUGCAGAGCCGUCGGGGUCCAUGCGUGGAUCAGCAUGUUUCUCAGUGAUCAGUGCAGGUGUUCACUGCUCUGCAGAGCCGUCGGGGUCCAUGCGUGGAUCAGCAUGUUUCUCAGUGAUCAGUGCAGGUGUUCACUGCUCUGCAGAGCCGUCGGGGUCCAUGCGUGGAUCAGCAUGUUUCUCAGUGAUCGGUGUAGGUGUUCACUGCUCUGCAGAGCCGUCGGGGUCCAUGCGUGGAUCAGCAUGUUUCUCAGUGAUCGGUGUAGGUGUUCACUGCUCUGCAGAGCCGUCGGGGUCCAUGCGUGGAUCAGCAUGUUUCUCAGUGAUCGGUGUAGGUGUUCACUGCUCUGCAGAGCCGUCGGGGUCCAUGCGUGGAUCAGCAUGUUUCUCAGUGAUCAGUGCAGGUGUUCGUUGCUCUGCAGAGCCGUCGGGGUCCAUGCGUGGAUCAGCAUGUUUCUCAGUGAUCAGUGCAGGUGUUCACUUCACUGCUCUGCAGAGCCGUUGGGGUCCAUGCGUGGAUCAGCGUGUUUCUCGGUGAUCAGUGCAGGUGUUCACUGCUCUGCAGAGCCGUCGGGGUCCAUGCGUGGAUCAGCAUGUUUCUCAGUGAUCAGUGCAGGUGUUCACUGCUCUGCAGAGCAGUCGGGGUCCAUGCGUGGAUCAGCAUGUUUCUCAGUGAUCAGCGCAGGUGUUCACUGCUCUGCAGAGCCGUCGGGGUCCAUGCGUGGAUCAGCAUGUUUCUCAGUGAUCAGUGCAGGUGUUCACUGCUCUGCAGAGCCGUCGGGGUCCAUGCGUGGAUCAGCAUGUUUCUCAGUGAUCAGUGCAGGUGUUCGUUGCUCUGCAGAGCCGUCGGGGUCCAUGCGCGGAUCAGCAUGUUUCUCCGUGAUCAGUGCAGGUGUUCACUGCUCUGCAGAGCAGUCGGGGUCCAUGCGUGGAUCAGCAUGUUUCUCAGUGAUCAGUGCAGGUGUUCGUUGCUCUGCAGAGCCGUCGGGGUCCAUGCGUGGAUCAGCAUGUUUCUCAGUGAUCAGUGCAGGUGUUCACUGCUCUGCAGAGCCGUCGGGGUCCAUGCGUGGAUCAGCAUGUUUCUCAGUGAUCAGUGCAGGUGUUCGUUGCUCUGCAGAGCCGUCGGGGUCCAUGCGUGGAUCAGCAUGUUUCUCAGUGAUCGGUGCAGGUGUUCACUGCUCUGCAGAGCCGUUGGGGUCCAUGCGUGGAUCAGCAUGUUUCUCAGUGAUCAGUGCAGGUGUUUGUUGCUCUGCAGAGCCGUCGGGGUCCAUGCGUGGAUCAGCAUGUUUCUCAGUGAUCAGUGCAGGUGUUCACUUCACUGCUCUGCAGAGCCGUUGGGGUCCAUGCGUGGAUCAGCGUGUUUCUCAGUGAUCAGUGCAGGUGUUUGCUGCUCUACAGAGCCGUCGGGGUCCAUGCGCGGAUCAGCAUGUUUCUCAGUGAUCAGUGCAGGUGUUCACUUCACUGCUCUGUCUCUUAAGUUACAAACAAGAGAAAAAGGUUUAAAAUGUCCUGGCUUUGAACUUGUCGUCUUCAGAUUGGUGAAAAGCAAAGAGAGUGUAGGAGGGGUCGGGGUGGUUAUUUCCUUUGGUAUACUAGAAAUGUGUGCGUGUGGAUGAGCAAACACUGCAAUAAAGGACACAGGAAGGGUUUAUGAUUUAUGACCUCACAGUGAUUGAAGGCUGGUCGCACAGCACACAGACAUGCAGAAUAUAUUCAGCGUUCAUUUCGACGUUCCUCUGCAGUUCCCAAAUAAACUAGAAAUGACGGCCCUGCUGGCUUCUGCACCAGCCUGAGUGUGCGUGUGUGUGCGUGAGUGUGCGUGUGUGUGCGUCGUUCGUUUUUGUUUCCUUCCAGUCAGGCUGUUCAGUAUUUGCAUUUAAGUCACGAUUGUGGUACAGUACUUUUUUCCCCAUAUUGAAACAAAUCCGUACAAUAAACGUUCAGUUGUUUUGAUUGCUAUACCUUGUGCAGUGUUUGGGUUUAGCACACAACAAACAUGCACCAUGUAGAAUGAGAUUUUGCUGGAGAAGUACUGAAGUCACGUUUUACACAAUUAUAAUAUUUAGUAUUGCUUUCCAGUUAGGGUUGCAAAAUUCCCGGGAAUUUUGAGAGCGGUAAAUUUCCACCGGCAUUUUUAUGGACCUUUGUGGGAAUAUUGUGAAUUUUCAGAAAUAUUCGGGAACUUUGGGAAUUUUCAUUUUGUAAUAUUGAACAGAUAAGUGAUCUUGGAUCAGGGUAACUCCGUUGUUUCAGAAGAAAGUAAAAACAUGCUCUAAACACUUUUAAACUUUGAGUUCAAAGGAUUUCAACUCUUAAGUUUAGAACACAAUCAUAACUCAGUUUUGCUUCACAUAUUGUAAGUUAUUUAAAAGAUGCUGGACAUGUCUAGCAUAAAACACUAUAGGUCACUAGUAUGCUGUAAGUACUGUUCAGUUAUAUACCAUACUCAAAACCAGAACAUUGGUUACAAAUGAUUUGAACUCGUAUCCUUUUCAUUUCAGAACAGUCAACUCAAUUUGUCAUCUUAACAGAUCAAUAUAUAAAUUAUUUGGAAACAAAGUCCUACUUGCUGUCUAUCAUAUACAGACAAGGUACUAGUGUGCUGCAAGUACUGGUCAAUAAAAUGGUUUAAUAGUGAUUGGCAACAAUAAAUAAAACAAAACAUACAAAAGUAAUGGGACAGCCUUUCCAAACCGUGACUAUUCUGAGAGUGGGGCCCAUUUCACCAUGUUUAUUGGAACUAAUCAUUCUGUGCCAAGAAAAUAAUUGGCAUUAGAUUUACUUAACAAUGUUAUGAGAGACUGAGUUGAAUUAUUUUUAUUAUUACUUUGAUGAUUUUUCGCUUGCUGGUUUCUCAGUCACUGUGAGUCGCAUCCCGUUUGCAUAUCAUCUGGCUCUGUUUCACCAUCAGAUUCACGGCGGUGUAACAGAGGAUGAACGCGUAUCUUUUAAACACAGAGAAAUAUAAACACUUAAAGCCUAGGCGGUUUCCAUAUCAAUUAACAAAACAUGCGACUAUUGAAUAAAUACAGCUAAAGAGACACUAGAAUAAACCGUUUGAAAUCUAAAACAGAUUACUGUUUGAUUGUUGCGUUCAUAAUUUUAAAACAAAAUUAACGACACACUUUCAUAGGUUUUAAUAAACUCACACACGCAAAUCAAACCUAGAAAAUACAUUUCUUUUGUUGUUACUAUAUGUUUUUAUUUAAAAUAACUCAAAAACUGUUACGAUGAAAUAAUGCAUGAACACCUCACAGUCUACUUACUGCAUUAUUAUUAUUAUUUAUUUCUUAGCAGACGCCCUUAUCCAGGGCGACUUACAAGAUAUAACAUUAUUUUUACAUACAAUUACAUUAUUUUUUAUACAUUAUUUUACAUACAAUUACCCAUUUAUAGAGUUGGGUUUUUUUUUACUGGAGCAAUCUAGGUAAAGUACCUUGCUCAAGGGUACAGCAGCAGCGUCCCCACCUGGGAUUGAACCCAGAGCCCUGACCACUACUCACACUGCUGCCCUUAAAGUGAAGGCAGGUCAAUAAUGCAACAGAAAAGUGUGACGUUUUCUUUUCUCCACGGCAGUGUAAAGAUCAUACAGCUGUAUGUACAGUAGCUUACUGACAGAGUUUGUGAGGCGGGAUAUCCACAUGACAAGCGCACUUAAAGGCAAAACUAGCGCUCCCACCCAGCCAAAAGUCGAUGUUCAAUCUUGGUAUAUUUUGGUAGUUUUGACCAAUCAUAACCCGUAUCGCUACCAAGAAUUGACCAGGAAAGAGCCAAUCAGAUUUCGCAGAGCAACCAAGAAUGAAGUGACGCAAUGAUCCAAUCAGAUCUCGUAGAUCUACCAAGAAUCCUGCGCGUUUUCAACGACGGGAGAUUAUUGAAUCUUGAAGUCUUUUGGUUUAUUUCGAAAUACAAUCAUCUGAAGGUAAGAAUUUUAUUACAGUAUUAUUUGAAUUGUCACUAGUACUGUACAUAUAGUCACCAAGAAUUAAAAAACGACAAUAAUAUAUGUCCGUAUUACAAAUGUCAGCUGUAGAAAUUCGCGGAUAGUAAACUCUAUAUUUUGUAAUAUUAUCAGUAAAAAUACACGAUUGACAUUUUUUUACAAUAGGUGUCAGUUAAAAUUGUAAUAUUUACGACAGCUAGAAACUUGUUUGAGGGACUGUUUUAUCCAAAGAGCAAUUAUAUUUAAUACAUUUGUCCGUUAUAAUGGUACUGUAAUACAUGUAUCCGGGACAACAGAAAUCGUACCAUGGUAAAAUAAAUAGUACCAUAUAGUACCGUGGUGUAGUGUUGCAUUAUACUGUAGAUACCAGGAUACCACAAUCGUAUUAUCAUGGUGGUACUGCAUUAUUGAACCAUAAUAGAGCAUUGUACAUUGAUAGUAUCGGAUACAUUGUGUGUUUCUAUCAUUUGUUUUUAAUUAUGUAUCCAUGAAGGUUAUAGUACUGUAUUUAACUUUAGGUUUUUAAGUUUAAUUUAGUUUUCAUUGAAAAAUGAUCUUGUUUGAAAGCAAUACUUAAAAAAUGUGAACAUGGCUACUCCAUGCUUUUUUUUUUUUUUUUUUUUUUAAUAAUCUCUCUUUUUUCAACAGUAAAUCCCUUUUGCCAUUGUAUAGUCGUGUUUAUUUGUUUUCAACCAUUGAACACCUUUUUGAUUUCUUGUUUUGUGUAGAAACCUUUUAUUUGGCCAUUGUGACUAUUUUGUGUUUUAGACUAUUUGUUUAAUUGAAGUCUUUUGUUUAACUGCAAACUUGCUAUUCUGUUACAAAUGCUCCUUUUCAGGUUCAGAUGGAACCCUUGUUUAGAAAGGCUGAUGGCAGGCUCAACCUGACUGAUACCUCGGCUGCCUUCAAAGUGAAGGAGGAAAACUGCAGGAGCCCAUGGUCCAGGGCCACUUCACCAGAGAAAGUUUUGAGCUCAGCUAGCAGUGCGGUUUUGCAUGAUGGCAGGUACCCAGACAACAAAGUGCAUGUUUUGGGACAAUAUGAACUUCAGUUUGGUGUUUUCAGGGGGCAGGUAUUUAAGUGGGUUGCCGAGAACGUCUUGGGAUAUGCUGGGUUUCUUGUGGCUGCGAUGGAUAAGGACACAGCCUCAGGCUCAAGGGACUCUAAGAACCACAACGCUAACAAGCUGUCCUUCAAGGAGUACAUUGAGCUUUUUCCAGAGGGAACAGAAGCUAUCAAGCUGAAGAUUGUGAAGGAUAAGAGUCCCCAGCCAUCGACCAGUAAGCCGCAGCCGACAGCAUCAUCCCUUCCUUCACUGUUGGUUGGAAAGAUGCCUCCCCCUCAGGCCCUUGCCAAAGUAAUCCAUAAGUUGGUAUUGCCCCAGAAGGUUCAACCAUCUCUGAUGACUGGUGCUGAACUGAGCGACCAAGAACUCCUGACUGAAGAUGAACAGAUUGAGUCUAAUAUUCAGUGUAAAAUGCUUUAGAUAAAGGGAACCGAAGGAAAAGACCGAUCUGGAAAAGGCUGGGUUGCAGCACUGCAGGAGAGUCUGUGAUUCUGAGGACCAGACCGGCGGUGUGUGACCGACACCUCGGUGCUUCAUACGCAUUCCCAGCUGAGGAUAGAGUGCCGGUUCAUGAACGAUUCAAAGCCGCUUACCCAAGCUCCAGCACGGGGAGGCGCGAGUGGUGUGGGUGCUGGUCAUGUUGAUUCACUGUUCUGUGUUACCCACAGCUCUGAGUCUAGAUUUACAGCCAUGGCAGGAAUGUAUGUUACUAACAUACCGGCGCCUCCAUUUUUCUCUUCUUUUUUUUUAUAUAUAAAAUGGUCAUGUCCAUCAUUGACACUAUACAAAAAUGUUCUUCUGUACUAAAACUGUUACCGUUUUCAUGCUAAAGCCAUAGAACCUAGGUAUUAAUUUAAUUUAUUUUCAUUUCAUUGUUUAUUAAUUUUUUUUAUUUUUAUUUGUAUCAAUCGGGAUCAUCCAAAUGUGUUGUAAUUGCUUGUGUCAGCAGAGGGCGCUGUUGGGUCAGGCUGUUGCUUCUCGAUGACAUAAUUAUAACUUGGAUCAUCUCGGCUUGCCUAUCGCAGCUGUGCCAAUGCCUGCAGUUCCGCAACUCACCACUAGAGACAGUGUUACCUCGCUCGGAGUUUUUACUGUCCUGUUUUUUAUGGUGCUUGUAAUCAUGGUAAAUUUUUCUAAAUGCAAUCACAGAACUGAAAUACAGUGUUUUCUUUACUUUU